This 497-nucleotide ribosomal RNA is filed under the name uncultured bacterium. RNAcentral's name for it is "bacterial SSU rRNA". It matches the Rfam family "Bacterial small subunit ribosomal RNA", at positions 10 to 507 of the family's 1533-position model. The record is from RNAcentral.
AGUUUAUCUGGCUCAGAUUGAACGCUGGCGGAAUGCUUUACACAUGCAAGUCGAACGGUAGAGGGGGCAACCCCUUGAGAGUGGCGAACGGGUGAGUAAUAUAUCGGAACGUGCCCAGUCGUGGGGAUAACGUAGCGAAAGUUACGCUAAUACCGCAUACGAUCUACGGAUGAAAGCGGGGGACUCGCAAGAGCCUCGCGCGAUUGGAGCGGCCGAUAUCAGAUUAGGUAGUUGGUGGGGUAAAGGCUCACCAAGCCAACGAUCUGUAGCUGGUCUGAGAGGACGACCAGCCACACUGGAACUGAGACACGGUCCAGACUCCUACGGGAGGCAGCAGUGGGGAAUUUUGGACAAUGGACGCAAGUCUGAUCCAGCCAUUCCGCGUGCAGGAUGAAGGCCCUCGGGUUGUAAACUGCUUUUGUACGGAACGAAAAGGUUUGUCUUAAUACGAUGAGCUCAUGACGGUACCGUAAGAAUAAGCACCGGCUAACUACGUG